GAUAGCUCAGUCGGUAGAGCAGGGGAUUGAAAAUCCCCGUGUCCUUGGUUCGAUUCCGAGUC
RNAcentral lists this transfer RNA (62 nucleotides) under Escherichia coli. RNAcentral's name for it is "tRNA-Phe". It matches the Rfam family "tRNA", at positions 6 to 65 of the family's 71-position model. From Rfam's summary of the family: Transfer RNA (tRNA) molecules are approximately 80 nucleotides in length. Their secondary structure includes four short double-helical elements and three loops (D, anti-codon, and T loops). RNAcentral also lists the same sequence under 2 other names. Lineage: Bacteria; Pseudomonadati; Pseudomonadota; Gammaproteobacteria; Enterobacterales; Enterobacteriaceae. The record is from RNAcentral.